Rhamnusium bicolor is the source of this 74-nucleotide non-coding RNA. The record is from the annotation of a GenBank genome assembly. Lineage: Eukaryota; Metazoa; Arthropoda; Insecta; Coleoptera; Cerambycidae.
GCCAACUGGGUGUAGUUGGCUAGAGCGCGCGAUAAUCUCCAUUGUAGCUGCGGGUUCGAAUCCCGCCAGCGGCA